UCGGGUAUGGUGUAGCGGUAACAUCGUUGACUCUCACUUCUUAGGAGUGACUGCUCUCUCUCAACAGCCCCGGGUUCGACUCCCGGUAUCCGAG
This 94-nucleotide transfer RNA is filed under the name Neurospora tetraspora. Its description in RNAcentral is "tRNA-Glu". It matches the Rfam family "tRNA". From Rfam's summary of the family: Transfer RNA (tRNA) molecules are approximately 80 nucleotides in length. Their secondary structure includes four short double-helical elements and three loops (D, anti-codon, and T loops). The record is from RNAcentral. RNAcentral also lists the same sequence under 1 other name. Lineage: Eukaryota; Fungi; Ascomycota; Sordariomycetes; Sordariales; Sordariaceae.